This 859-nucleotide unclassified non-coding RNA is filed under the name Hevea brasiliensis (rubber tree). The record is from RNAcentral. Lineage: Eukaryota; Viridiplantae; Streptophyta; Magnoliopsida; Malpighiales; Euphorbiaceae.
GAACAAGAUUCAAUAUAACAAGGACGUGGGGCAUUCUAUCAUUGAGAGCUAUUCAAGGGUGAUGGAAAGCUUAGCCUUCAGUAUAAUGGCGAGGAUUGAUGAUCUCCUAUACGUGGAUGAUGCCACCAAGCAACGAGCAGCAGCAGAGUCAUCAUCUCUGUAUGACCAAGGAAGGCUUGAGGGAGCACUUCCUAAACAGAAAUGGAUGUCAUCUAGCUCUUUUUCUUUUCAACACAAUCUUUCUGCCUCUCCAUCUCUGUUGUCAAAAUUUGACUCUUUUCAUAAAAAACUUAGAAUCUCUAGUGCAAGGAGACAUCAUUUUGCAAAGAAGAGCAAGCUAAAGGACUCACCAAUUCAGACCCUGCAGAAACUAACCUUCUAAGUUGAAGGGGCAAAUCGUCUCAUAUAGCUCAAGGACUAGUAAUGCGUCUGUAUCUUGUUUAUCUAGCUAGAUCCACUUACUGUAGAUGAUAGCUAGUUUUGUAAGCCUGAUAGGCAGAGAAGGUAGGUAGCAAAACAAUGUUGAAUUAGUUCCUUCACGAGCAGAGAGCAUACCCAUGAAAUCUCUAUAUACUUGCUGUUGUGGGGAUCUUCAAUAAUAUAACUCCUUGAAGGCCUUGUGUUCCUAUUCGAAAUGCAUAAGCCUCAUCUCUGUUUCAAAACCUCUUUAUCUGAGAGGUCUAUAAUUUCAUACGUGAAUUCAAUGCUUUUUAGUCUUCCUUGAAUUUCAAGGUUUUUUGUUAACAUAAGUUGGCCUGUCUUGUAACAGCUAAACAGGGUAAUUUUUUGUUGGACGAAGACUUCUCUCUCCUCUCCACGAAAAUGCUAUUAACAUGGAUCAGUAGAAUUCUGCAGCUGA